Non-coding RNA from Phascolarctos cinereus (koala), 807 nucleotides. Lineage: Eukaryota; Metazoa; Chordata; Mammalia; Diprotodontia; Phascolarctidae. The record is from RefSeq and is a predicted model, not a curated record.
UUAGCGGCCUGCUAGGUGGCUCGCUGUCCCGCCCCGCUAUCGUUCCGUUUGUCUUCCCUCAAGGGCGCCCUUGGGGAGGUGCUGUAUCUGAGCAGGCUCCUCGCGCUUGUGCUGCUCCCCUUCCUCCUUCCCGCCCCCAUCUGAGUCUCCCGACGUCGGGUGUCCAAGUGGGCUGCUCCUCUCACGCGGGGUCCCCUGAGAACCCUCCACCCUCCGCUCCUAAAAGCCGAAUACACUGGCUGCUAGUCACCCCCGCUUGGCCCGCGGCUGAGCAGAGGUGAAAGUGUCUUAAUCUCCUGAGACAAGAUUGUAUAAGUGCCUAGUUGUGGUUCAUCUAUGAGUCCUGGUUGUACAACGCUCACCUCAAUAUCUUCUGUGAGUGGAUAUUCAGCCUUUAUGUGAUGAUGUUUAGUGAAGAGAAAUGCAAUGCCACCAGGGUCACCCCAUUCUACAUCUGGAUUGAGUUUUUUUGGUGUCCUUGAGCCAAAUGUUUCACUGCUUCAGGGGAAAUGCUAGCAGCUGAAUGGGAGUUAAGUCAGUGGGAUAUCUGUCCCUGUGAAAAAAGUUGGAAGGGUGAUCUUGGGAAGCUAAGCAAAAUCUCUACAACCAGGGCAAGUCCUUCCUCAUAUAAUUGCUGUUGUAAUACUUUAGUACCUCCUGCUGUUUUCAAUUUGAGAUUCCAUACUCUGAACAAUUAAGUAAGUAUUUGGCCUUGUCAUCUGCCUGUUUAUAGUUAUAUAUUCAUGUAUGGUAUAAGGUCCUUACAUUUUUCAAAAUGCUAUGGGAAUGAUUGGACAGUAGUGUAAG